UACAGAGGUGGCAAGCGUUGUUCGGAAUUACUGGGCGUAAAGGGCGCGUAGGCGGCCUUCUAAGUCAGACGUGAAAUUCCCCGGCUUAACCUGGGAACUGCGUCUGAUACUGGGAGGCUUGAGUAUGGGAGAGGGAUGUAGAAUUCCAGGUGUAGCGGUGAAAUGCGUAGAUAUCUGGAGGAACACCGGUGGCGAAGGCGGCAUCCUGGACCGGUAUUGACGCUGAGGCGCGAAAGCCAGGGGAGCAAACGGG
Molecule: ribosomal RNA, 253 nt
Filed under: uncultured bacterium
Lineage: Bacteria
Description: partial 16S ribosomal RNA
Rfam family: Bacterial small subunit ribosomal RNA
Source: RNAcentral